UACGAAGGGGGCUAGCGUUGCUCGGAAUUACUGGGCGUAAAGCGCACGUAGGCGGCUUUGUAAGUUAGAGGUGAAAGCCCGGGGCUCAACCCCGGAAUUGCCUUUAAGACUGCAUCGCUUGAAUCCAGGAGAGGUGAGUGGAAUUCCGAGUGUAGAGGUGAAAUUCGUAGAUAUUCGGAAGAACACCAGUGGCGAAGGCGGCUCACUGGACUGGUAUUGACGCUGAGGUGCGAAAGCGUGGGGAGCAAACAGG
Molecule: ribosomal RNA, 253 nt
Filed under: uncultured bacterium
Lineage: Bacteria
Description: partial 16S ribosomal RNA
Rfam family: Bacterial small subunit ribosomal RNA
Source: RNAcentral